AAUACACAAUUUUAGGCUGCUUCCUUGACAGAUUUGGCCUCUGAGAGUAGGACCCAGGGAUGAGUACUUUAAUUUUUUUUUAAUAUGCACUCCGAAGUGAUUACUAUAUGAUCAGUCUGUAAUUGUCCACAUGUGGCAUUGAGGAAGCAGAGUUAGUUUACAUAGGGCCUAUGAUAUGUGUUCAGAGAUCCUUUCCAUUGAUCAUGUCAUUUGAAUCUUAAUCUUAUAGGGCAAGUAAAAGUAAUAUCAUUUCUCUUUUACAGAUGAGGGAUUAAAGUUCAGUGAAAUUCAGAUACUUACCUUUAGCUCACUGAGAGUAGAGUCAGGUCUCCUAGUCCACAUUUCAUUUUGCUCUACCAUUGUGAAUGACAAGCCUUGCCUCUCCUUGAAGACUUUCUUAAAUGGGCAGUUAAACGCCUCCUGUGAUACCCUAGAUCAGUUCAAACCCUCUGGCUACCUAUGGUGACAAAUCUGCUUUUUAAAAAUAUAUAUAUUUUUUAAUGAAUGAGACCAAUAUGUUUACAAAAUACAAUAAAAGCCAAAAGCUAGAAAAAUAAAAUCCAAAGGCGUAUAAAAUACAACCUUUCAUUUUUUUAUUUGUGUAAAUAGACUUAAAAUACCAUUUCAAAAAAUAAGUAAGUGUAACAUAGAACGAUUGCUCAUAAACAUUUUUAAAUGUUUGUACUCAGGUUUUAUACUCUUCUCAUCUCAAGCUGGUAACAAAUAGUUUGCUAAUCAACACUGGCCUGAUUAGCAGUCAGACCAGUGGCCAGACCAGUGCUGAUUAGCAAACUAUUUGUUACCAGUCUGAGAUGAGACUGGUAACACUUUCAGCAGCUGUCCUUCGCUUCAUUAUUGGGGGGAAUUCAGCCCUUUUUUAGGAAACCUCUUUUCCCAUGACUUCCAGCCAACAGGAUCUGGUUCUAUUUUCUGGAGCAAUUAGUCGCAAGCUAACUGUCUUACAUUAUAACACCCCUGCCACUUGAGGACAGUUGUCUGCCGGAGAUCCAACCAAACCUUCCCAGUUUCUUCUAUUGACUUUCCUAAAAUGGAAUUCUUUUGUACUCCUUAUCCUGGGCCUUCUCAUCUAAACAGUCAUUUAUAUUCCCCUAAACCAGCAUCCAGGAGUGGAACACAGAACUCUAAAUAUGAAAGUGCAUAUUCUUUGCAAGACUUCUCACCUCCUCCUCCUUCUAAUUUUCACAAUUUAUAGGCCAUUCUUGGCUUUGGGUCUAUAAGGACAAAUUUCACUAUGUUCUUUAUCCCUUGUAGGGAUAAAGUCUACAAUCUGGCAGUUACCUAGGAGCUAAAACAUCCGAGUAGCAGAGUUCCAUAAGCCAUUGAGUUGACAGAAAAUUGCAACAAGGAAGGAGUAGCCAGUGGAAUACGGCAAUGGCCUGAGAGUCUAAGUUGAGGGGCAAUCUUAAAGUGGCUGACAACAUUCCCUUCAUUUCUUGUUCUAGUGGAAAGCUUAGCACUUAGCUUCCUUUGUAGAUCAACUGGUGGUUGUUUUUCUUCUCACACUGUCAGUGCCGGCUACUCUGAAGAUGGGGUAGGUGUCCUACUCACUCCUUAGUGCGAUCUCUGAAUCAUCUCCCAAAUUCCUCUCUAAACACUGCCCCCUACAACUUAGAAUCCCAGGCCAUUGCCAUAUUCCACCUGCUACUCCCCCCUUGUUGCAAUUAUCUGUCAACUCAAUGGCUUGUGGACUCUGUUACUUGGACGUUUUAGCUCCUAGAUAUCUGUCAGACUCUAUUUCUAAUGUCUUGGUGGCUCAGUUUCUUACUUCUCUUGGCAUACUCUUGCCCUGCACCCUACUUCACACACACUGGGUCUUCAUACCUGAGACACUGCCAUUGCCAAUAACUGUACCCCCUCCAUUCUCUCAGUGUCAAACAUCUCACACUAGCACUGCCACUUCCACACCUUCCUUCUCACUCCCUCUGAUACAUCACCUGCGUAGUUCUUAAAUCCCACUGAGAACUCCAAAUAACUGAUGCUAUCACCUCUUCUUAGUCCCUCAAAACCAUACAGAAUCCUUAUCCAUCUUAAAUUCUGUGGCCAGCCAUUAUAAUCACAUUUUUGCCAACAAACACAAGUACUUGUGAAACUAAGCCAUAGUCUUUGCUAAAUCCAACUUUCUGUCUGCCCUAUACUUGGUCACCUAGAGCUGAAAGUGGCUGAAAAAAAAACAUACAACCAUGAUUGUUUGUCUCACAUUCACUUCCUAUCAUCAACCUCAAGUGGCUCUUACCGCUAUAUGGUACUUAAAUUUUCCCCGAUCUAUUUAUUUAUUCUCAAAUCUCCUAGGAAACUAUUUCAUACCUUUUAAUCUCUGCUCUACUCCUCCACACCUCCCUCCUCAUCCUCAAUCUCAGAUGAUGGCUCUGCUUUCUAUUUCAUAAAGAAUAUGGAAACAUGCAUAAGAGUAUUCCUGCAGUUUCCCACUGCCACUUGUCCCUGCUUAGUUCCAUCCAUGCCCUAUAUUUGGUUUCUCUCCUAUUAGGAUCUCAGCAUUGCCCAUACUCCUAGCUAAGGGCAGUCCCUCCAUUUGUCCACUAGAUUUCAUCCCUUCCUCACUUUCUAAAGAUAUCAGUCUAGAAAUUCUGUCACUCUCAUCAUUUUUUUUUUUAAACUGGAAUUUUCCCAACAACAUGUAAGCACUUUUCCAUUCCUAACACUAUCUAGCCAUUACCUUAUUUCUUACCUUCCCUGUAUAGCUUAUCUCCUUGAAAGAGUUGCUAGUGCAGGCUUCUAUUUGCCUCUUUCAUUCUCUCUUGAGCCCACUCUGAUCAAUUUUGUCCCCAUGACACCACUAAAACUGCUUCAACCAAGGCCAUGAAUGAUUUCCAUAUUUACAGAUCUCAUUGUAAAUUUAUUCUGAUUUCUUGUUUUACUUACUCUUUCAGCAGUAGAUGACCAGCUUCUCUCUUACUUGAAAUGUCUUCUCCAUUUGGCUUUCUGAGUACCAUAGAGAUUAUCUAAUAGGUAUUUAAAAUAAAUCUGUUAAAAACUGAGUUAUUAUUAUUUGACUGAAAACAUUCUCAUUUGCAAUCUUCUUCAUCUCUAGCAAAUGCUCAGGCUAAAACUCUUGGUAUUACUCUUGACUGCCCUGAAAAACUUCCAUCAGAUAAACCUCUUCCAUCAGAUCAACCAUAUCUGAUGAAUAAGGAAAUUCUGUUGGUGUCCAUUCAAAGUAUAUCCAGGAUUUGAGGACAUCACAUCUUCACUGUUAGCAUUUUGGUUCAAGCCAUCAUCAUCUCUUACCUGGGUGAUUGACAAUGUCUUCCAACCAGUCUCCCUGGACCCCUUUCAUACAGUGGCUACUCUUGCUGAUUUGGUUAAAUUUCCAGUCAGAUCACGUCAUUCCUCUGCUGAAGCUGAUGUCUCCCUUCUUUACUCAGAAUGAGAUCCAAUGCUCCAAUCGUGACUCACAAGGCCCCAGACAAUCCAUCUUUGAUAGCCUCUCUGACUGCAUCAUCUUCUGUUCCCAGUCCUGUUUUUGCUCCAGUCACACUGGGCUCCUCACUUCCAGGCAUUGCCGACUCAAGGCCUUUGCCUCAGAUGUUCCUUCUCCCUAGAACUUUCAUUCUGAGAUCAGCAUGGCUUGCUCACGUCCAUCCUUCAUAUCUUUUCUCAAAUAGCCUCUCUCAAUGAGGACUUCCUUACUCAACUUAUCUAAAAUUGUAACCCUUCUAUUCCCAACAUAUAUUCCUAUUUUUGCUUUCCUUUUCUUCUUACCACUUUUUCCUAUAGAAUUUUUUUUUCAUUCCUUAUUUGUCCUUUCUACUAGUUUUGGGUUUUAUGAAGGCAGGAUUUGGUGUGUGUUUUGUUUACUACUAUAUUCCUAGCACCUAGGACGCUGCCUAGCACACGGUAGGAACUCAAUAAACACUUAUCGUGUGAAUCAAUGGUUAAGUGAAUGCAGGGGAUGUUGGACUUUUACUUCUUAAGAUACGAACAUUUUAUUCCAUAAAUACAAACUAAAUGUGGAUCAGCUUCUCUUAUAUUUAAGCAAUCACAUCCUACUCUUGAUAUAUACCACGCUUAUGAUCAACUACAAUUCCCAGCUCUUUUUCAUGUGAACUUCUGCCAAGCCAGGAGUUCCCUAUUAUGUAUUCAUAGAAUUAUUUUUAAAUUCCCACACAUGGCCCUUUAUAAACUUCAUCUUGUUAAACUCAACAGCCCAAGUCUGCCAAGAGAUAAUUCUGGAUCUUGAUUUUGCUAUAUCUUACAUUAACAUUAUCUUCUAGCUUUGACAAACUGUUUUGUUUGACUUUAUUUUUGUUUAUUAUAAUGAUAAUCAGAUAGGACAAAUAAAAAAAUUUGUGGGCCAUCAGAAGAGAAGUUGGGACAGACUGCAUCUUUCAAAAACAGCUGCACCAAUGAAUGCUCUUUUAUACUGUGGUGGUACUAUCCCUUAUUGCGAUAUUGGGUCUCAUUUCCCUUCCCUUUAAACUGAAGACUCUUAAAACUGCCUCAAUCAAUAAAGUAGGGUAGAAGCAACUCUUUGUGACUUCUGAAAGUUAAAUUAGCGGUGACAUUACUUCUUCCUGUUUUUUUCUUUCUUGGGACAUGCACCUUGGACCCUGAGCUGAAAUGAAAGAAGUCUGGUUACACUAAGGCCACCAUGCUGGAGAAAUCACCUGGACAGACCACAUAGAGAUAGAAAUUAAAGCCUGAGGUGCCUCAGAUGUUCCAGCCCCUAGUUGUUUACAUUUCUGAAGCCCUGGCACCAGACAUUAGGUCACGUGGACAAGGAUGGUCCUUCUCUCUGGAAAGCAGGCCUAGGGCCCCUGCAGAUAUGCUCACAGCACGGUGUCAAGUAGAAUGAGCUUCCUGGUGAUCAGGAAGUAAAAGAGAAUGGGUGAGACUUUACACACUGCCUUUUAUAAAUUCUCAUGCCCACAAUAUCUGAUCAAAUGUUUCAUACUUUGAUACAUCUGAUUGUCAACUCCUUCUGUGGAAGAAAUAAGUAACAGAGCGGAAAGAGACCAGAAAGUCCUUUGUGGGCAUUCCUUUUGAGUGGGAAGAAGGGGAAGAAAUUACCUUGGGGUGGGCCAGUAAGGCUAAACGAGAACUGGAGUCUGUCAUCCUUCACUUGCACCAUCUUCCUAGACUCUAUUUCCUCUUAUCCAAUUAUGUUUAACAGCUGGGUCAAUAGUUGAAUUCGAUUGUGGCUGAUAUUUCAGGACAAGUAUAUCAAGCCUAGUGGUUUAAAAUAAUAACCAUUCAUUGUCUCUUGUGAAUCUCAAGGUCAGUGUGGUGGUUCUGGUGAUCUUGGCUGGGAUCAUUCAUGCAUCUGCAGUCAACUGCUGGGUCAGCUAGAGCCCAGCUGGUCAGGAUGACCUCAAAUGGGAUGACGCUACUUUCUUCCCUAUAUGUCUCAGCUGUCUCCAUCAGAUAGCAUGGGCAUGUCUUCAUGGUUACUGCCAGGGCAAGAAAGUCUCUGCAUGCAUCCCAUUUCUUCUUGUUUCAUUGGCCAAAGCAAGUCACACAACUAAGCCCAGAUUCAAACUGGGAAGAGAAUACACAGUUAUAGAACAGGGAGAAUUCAGGGAUCCUAUUAGUUGGGACUACGAAUGCAAUCAAGAGAAGCAAUGUAUCAGGAGAGUCAUGGUAUUAACUUCUUGAUUCUGAUGUCACCCCCAAAGAAGUUUCUGUAAUAAUGAAAAUGUUCUGUACCUAUGUUGUUCAAUAUGGUAGCCACUAGCUACCUGUGACAACUUAAAUUUAACUUUAAUUUAAAUAAAAGUGAGAAAAUGAGUUUCUUAGUCACAAUAGCUGCAUUUUAAGCCUUAAUAGCUAGCAGUAUACUAAUAACUUUUUCUAAUAUUUUACCUUAAAUCAGUGAGGUGAAAAAUUAUUCACCUACAAGUCUCUAUAGUAGGUUAAAAUGGGACAUUAAUUUGCUAUAUUUUAGGCAUUUUUGUGUCCUAUUGGGAAGUGAUUUAAAUUGAUUAGGUCAUGCUCAGCCAGUUUAUUCUUCUGGGGAACCUUUAGCAGCUUACUGUAAUGGAGAAGGUGAUAUAUCUGCUCUCCACAGACCUGCUAAAACAUUACAGUGAAGCCAAGUUUCAGACAUUGCUCUGUCUCACCUGUAGACAUUUAUUGGCAAACAGGCUUGAGUCUGUUUGAGACAUACCCUGCUCUGCAGGAUCAAUCAAGACACUGUCUCUACUUUUAGGCAUGUUUUUCAGCUUCACUGAAUUGUAAUUCUAUAUAUUCAAGGCAUACAAUGUGAUGUUUUGAUAUACAUAUAUAUUUUGAAAUUAUUGUACCAAUCAAACUAAAUUAACAUAGCCAUCACCUCACAUAAUUACCUUUUGGUAUGAAUAUGUGCUGAGAAUGCUUAAGAUCUACUCUCUUAGCAAAUAUCAAGUAUAUUAUAUAUUAACUAUAGUCACUGUGCUUUAUAUUAUGUCUCCAGGACUUACGUAUCAUGCAACUGACCAAUGUCUGUCUAUUUUCCCCAUCCCUAGACCCUGGUAACCAUCUUUUUAGUCUUUGUUUCUGUGAGUUCAACUUCUUUAGAUUACUCAUGUAAGUGAGGACAUGCUAUGCUUGCCUUUUUGUCCCUGGCUUAUUUUACUUAGCAAAAUGUCUUUCAGGUUUCAGGUUCAUCUAUGUUGUUACAAACAAUAGAAUUUCCUUUUAGUUUUUUGAGAGAGCGACAAAGGUCUCACUAUAUUGCCCAGGCUGGUCUGGAAUCAAGCUAUCCUCCUACUUUAUCCUCACAAGUAGCUGAGACUACAGGCAUGGCACUGUAUCUGGCUUUUUAUUUUAUGACAAAAUUUAUGUUUUCCAAAAGUCUGUUAUAUUUCUAUUUUGUUUAAAGUUUUUCUAGCAAUUUUUAGUUUUAAAACAUAAAUGCUAGAACAUGCAGCAAAUGUAAUUUUUGUUAAUAAGAAAUUGUAAUCUUUUGUGGAUGGUAAUGCAUGAUCAAUUUUUGUAAAGAUGUUAAGAAAAAUUAGGAAAAAGAUAUAUUUUUUGUUUACAGAUUAUAUAUUUCCCUACAAAUUCCAGCUUUUAUUUUAUAUUAUUUAAACUAUGCAUUUAUUUAUCUUUGUGUUCCUCAUCUAUCAAAGGCUGAAAACUAAUGAAGGCUUCUUCAUUGGUUGCAAUUUUGUCCAUUUCAUCUUUAAAGUUUUUAAUUUAUGCAUUUGGCAAGCUGUGAUUUUAUGCAUGCCAUUUUAUGACUGCUAAAUUUACAUUGUGAGUGUAUAUUUUAACAAUAAAACAUGACAUUUUAAUUUGAAUCAUCCUUCACUCGGAAAGAAUGUAAACUUUUGGUAAUGUACUAUUAAUAUUAUUCAGAAAGGGUACAGGAUUGAUAUAAUUUCUUAAGACUUGCAUACUUAAGACCUUAUUUUUCUUCUGUCCAAAGAAUGCCGAUUUGACUGUGUAGGAAAUUACUGGAUUACAAUCCUUUUUUGUUUUUUUCUUGACUCUGCUUCAUUAUCUCCUGACAUUUCUUUCCUUUUUUUUUUUUUUUGAAGUAAUUUGUGUUUUCUUACCAUGUCACUGUUGGAUUUUGUUUUCUGUGUUUUGCUAAUUCAAAAAUGCAUCCAGUAGUUGUCAAGUUGUAAUGUUUUUUCUUAUUGUUUUUGUUUGGUUGUCUGUUGGAAUGUGUGAGCUUUUUUAACCAGCAUACUUGAGUACUUUCUUGAACUCUUUUCUCUUUUUCAAAACUUAGAUCAUUAUUGUCUUUGGUUCUGAUUUUCCUUGUUUUGUCUCAUCAGGUAUGCCUAUAAGUCUUAAGCUAAAUUUUUAUCCCCUAACUCUUUGUAUUUAAUUUUAUACCAUAUUGUUUUUGUCUCUUUAUCUUUUUCCUUUCAGUUCUGAGAAAAAUAUCUCAAUUCUGACCUUCACAGUCUCUGCCCCAUCAUGAACUAGAUUUUCAGCAAUGCUGCAUCUGUUUUAUCUUAGCUCUAGUGAGGACUUUAAUUGGAUUUUACAACGUCAGUGUCCUUAAAACCCUUCCCUAUCUCCUCAGUCACCUUCAUCUCAGCUCACUGUUUUGUACCUUACCCUGAGGUUAUAUAAUCAUCUUCGUUAUUUUUUCUUAUACCUUUCUGUUUCUAUUUUAUAUAGAUGAAGACGUGUCUUCUGUAUUAAUAGGACUCAGACUUUCAAUCAACGGUGUUUGCUGAACAUCUAUUUUGUGCUCAGGGACACCUUUAUUAGGCACAGACAUUAUACAAAAUAAUCACCCAAACAAUUGUAUACUGAAAAAAUCAUAGGGUGCCCUGAGAGGAUGUAACAGGAGGCCCACUUUAAUCUGGGGGGUGAGGAAGGGACUCCUUGAGCAGCUACCAUUUGAACUAAAACCUGAAUAAAGAGCAGAGGGAGCCAGUUACGGAGAGGUGGGGGAGAGGCUGGAUGCUCAGCAAAGCAUGCAGCAUGGCCCAGGAAGCCAAAAAUGCUGCCUCCUUCCAUGUACUCAUUGCCAAGAUUUCAUGAAAUCAUCUUUCCCUUAAUCUGUACAGUUUUUUAAAUUUUAUUAUUAUUUUUUGUUUUUUAAGGGGAUCCUGUAUUGCUGUUUUCUUCUUAGGUUGAGAGGAGUUUUUCUCUGGACCCUAAUCAGGGCACAGGCCCUGUGGAUAAGCCAGAGCUCAUCUGCCAACUUUGGUGACAGUGGAAAUCCUCUCUCAUGUCAAAGCUGAACUGAGUUAGUGCCAAUGUGUGUAGUUUCCAGUGCAUCAUGCUAUCGAAGCGUGUUCAUCUAGUAUGACAUUGCUGGACUAGGCGAUGUCUUCUGCUAUGCAAAUUGCCUGAUGUGCCUCUCUUACUAAAGAACACCCAGGCACGGAAGGGCUGCCAGCUUUCCUCGUAGGGAGGGGAAGUUUAGAUACCAAAUUCUGAGUCAGUGUCAAAUUGGUGGAAGGCAUUUUUGUCUUCAUGUUUCCCAGCCAAUAGAGCUGCUUUGUCUCAUGAACAAGGACUUCAUAGAGAGAGGACAUUCCUUCCAAAUUCUGAAACUAGAUUACUCAGCACUCCUUGUUUUUGGGUGAUGUGAUCAGCUUGUUUUAUUUUAGUUGUUUUAUCGUCUGUUCAUUUACAUAUGUUUUAGUGGUAUGUAAGAAGUUGUAACAAGAUGCUAUUUUAAACUAGAAGUCUUAUAACUGAGAACAUGUGGUAUUUGGCUUUCUGUUCCUACAUUAGUUUGCUAAGACUAAUCGCCUCCAGCUCCACUCAUGUCCCUGCAAAGUACAUGAUAUCAUUCUUUUUUUAUGGCUGCAAAGUAUGUUGUAUAUGUACCACAUUUUCUUUAUCCAGUCUAUCACUGAUGGACAUUUAGGUUGACUCCAUGUCUUUGCUCUUGUGAACAGUGCUGCAAUGAACAUAGACAUGCACGUGUCUUUAUAAUAGAACAAUUCGUACCCCUUUGGGUAUACAACCAAAGUAAUGGGAUUGCUGGUCAGCUAAAUGAUAAGACCACAUGGACACAUAGAGGGGAACAACACAAACUGGAACCUAUCAGAGGGCGGAAGGUGGGAGGAGAGAGAAGAUCAGAAAAAAUGACUAUUGGGUACUAGGUUUAAUACCUGUGUGAUGAAAUAAUCUGUACAACAAACCCCCAUGACACACAUUUACCUAUGUAACAAACCUGCACAUGUACCCAUGAACUUAAAAUAAAAGUUAAACAAGUAAAAUA
Long non-coding RNA from Homo sapiens (human), 9658 nucleotides. RefSeq lists it as uncharacterized. The record is from RefSeq and is a predicted model, not a curated record. The transcript is spliced from 2 exons. Lineage: Eukaryota; Metazoa; Chordata; Mammalia; Primates; Hominidae.